CAAUCAGGAGGAUCUGCAAGUGCAAGCCUGGUAUGAUUUGCAUGUUUUUCCUUCGAUUCCAUAGUAGGUCCAAAACGAGCACCAACACCAACAUACUCAGUGUUUUCUAAACCAUCAAUCCAGAUGGGGACUUUUACCUAUAAAAGAAAUUCGAUCAAAUAAAAUAUAAAAAGUCCACAUUCAUAAUUUUGAAAACAAUAAACUGGAGAAAAGAGCUAUGAGUAAACAAGCAGCAUUUCUAACUUCAAAGGACAGCAAAGAAGUAAGAAAAUCAAUUAUUGCAUAUAUAAUUUAGACGAAAGCAACGAAGGUGCAAGAGUAUUUCCAACAAAUUCAAGCUGAAUUUGAGUUGCAAAUAUUUUGGAGAUUGAAGACAUUCCAAUAAAAUGUUAUCAUCCAAGUAAAAUAUAAUUCUGAUAUACUUUAAAAUUUGAGGAGAUAUCAAAGUUCCCUUCGGCUGAUAGGAAAUGCUUUAAAGUGCUUCAUCAUGCCAAUAUAGCAGGAAUAAAAUCCUACUCUAUGUUGCUUGGACUCUUCAAUUUUUCCUGAAGUAUCCUUGACCGACACCUAUGUCAGACACAUUUGGACAUGAGUACGGGGAUAUGACCCUUCAAGGAUCCUCCAAAUACAUGAAAAGCUUUAAAAUUUUGAACAUAUCUGUAUUUAACAUUCACACCAAAGUCGGAUUAACAUAAGUCCUAGUUAAGUCAAAGUCAUUAUCUCUUUCACAAAAAAAAAAGGGUCAAAAUCAUUAUUUAGCCUAGUUUAAACAAAGCUUUUUUCCUUUUGAUGCAUAUAAACAAAAAAAGUCGAAGUCAAUGUAUUUCCUCCCAACCUCAACAACGAAAUUAAGAGAAAGGAAAAACAGAAAAAGCCUACAUCACAAUAAUUUAGUUCAUAGAAAAAUUGACCACUUAAGUUUCCCUUUAUCCACACCAAAAUUGAAGUAACUCCCGAGAAAACAUUAACUUUUUUCCAUCACGACCAAACCACAAAAUAAGCCCAAAAUUUAAAAAAAAAAAGGUUAUUAGUAAUCAAACAGGAAGAGCAAAAAGACAAAAAGUCAUAAUUUGAAGUAAAUAAAAACAUUCAAACUACUUAUCCAAUAUAAGAGAACAUCUAAACCGAAAAUCAAGGACAAGAACAAAAAGCUAGAUUCUUUCAUCAUCCCUCCAAUUUCUCAGCAACCAAUCAAACAUGGACCCAAAAAAAAAGUUCAGAACUUUUAAAGGGAAUACCAGAACAAAGUUAUUAGCACACCCAGGUCUCUUUGGAGCAACGUUGUCCUGAUGAACUAUGUCCCCAGCUGAAACGAACCCAGCACUCAAAAUUACUAUUAAAAUUACGAUAAACACAAUAUUAAUUUCCAUAUCUGGAAAGAA
Molecule: long non-coding RNA, 1382 nt
Filed under: Gossypium barbadense (sea-island cotton)
Lineage: Eukaryota; Viridiplantae; Streptophyta; Magnoliopsida; Malvales; Malvaceae
Description: long non-coding RNA (GBAR_LNC018663)
Source: RNAcentral